RNAcentral lists this small RNA (84 nucleotides) under Escherichia coli. RNAcentral describes it as "partial RtT sRNA". It matches the Rfam family "RtT RNA", at positions 1 to 82 of the family's 130-position model. From Rfam's summary of the family: This family represents a bacterial cis-regulatory element known as RtT RNA. The exact function of RtT is unknown although it is thought that it may be involved in changing the cellular response in relation to amino acid starvation. Lineage: Bacteria; Pseudomonadati; Pseudomonadota; Gammaproteobacteria; Enterobacterales; Enterobacteriaceae. The record is from RNAcentral.
AUUCUGCCCAAGCGGGGAAGGAUGAGAAGCUUCGACCAAGGUUCGACUCGAGCGCCAGCGAGAGAGCGUUGCCGCAGGCAACGA